UACGGAGGGUGCGAGCGUUGUCCGGAAUCACUGGGCGUAAAGGGCGCGUAGGCGGGAUGGCAAGUCAGUCGUGAAAUCUCUCGGCUCAACCGAGAAACGUCGGCUGAUACUGCCGUUCUUGAGGGAUGCAGAGGAGACUGGAAUUCCCGGUGUAGCGGUGAAAUGUGUAGAGAUCGGGAGGAACACCGGUGGCGAAGGCGGGUCUCUGGGCAUUACCUGACGCUGAGGAGCGAAAGUGUGGGGAGCGAACAGG
RNAcentral lists this ribosomal RNA (253 nucleotides) under uncultured bacterium. Its description in RNAcentral is "partial 16S ribosomal RNA". It matches the Rfam family "Bacterial small subunit ribosomal RNA", at positions 524 to 776 of the family's 1533-position model. The record is from RNAcentral.